GGGGAUAUAGCUCAGUUGGGAGAGCGUUACGUUGACAUCGUAGAGGUCAGUGGUUCGAGACCGCUUAUCCCCA
This 73-nucleotide transfer RNA is filed under the name Orenia marismortui. It matches the Rfam family "tRNA". Rfam says of the family: Transfer RNA (tRNA) molecules are approximately 80 nucleotides in length. Their secondary structure includes four short double-helical elements and three loops (D, anti-codon, and T loops). RNAcentral also lists the same sequence under 1 other name. Lineage: Bacteria; Bacillati; Bacillota; Clostridia; Halanaerobiales; Halobacteroidaceae. The record is from Rfam by way of RNAcentral.